This 198-nucleotide ribosomal RNA is filed under the name uncultured bacterium. RNAcentral's name for it is "partial 16S ribosomal RNA". It matches the Rfam family "Bacterial small subunit ribosomal RNA", at positions 328 to 539 of the family's 1533-position model. The record is from RNAcentral.
ACGCUCGACACCUACGGGAGACAGCAGUGGGGAAUAUUGCACAAUGGAGGAAACUCUGAUGCAGCGAUGCCGCGUGAGGGAAGAAGGUUUUCGGAUUGUAAACCUCUGUCUUUGGGGACGAUAAUGACGGUACCCAAGGAGGAAGCUCCGGCUAACUACGUGCUAGCAGCCGCGGUAAUCUGAGCGGGCUGGCAAGGC